GGAAUAGUUCAGUGGCAGAGCAUCUACUUUGCAUACAGAAGGUCCUGGAUUCAAUCCCUGGCAUCUCCA
Molecule: non-coding RNA, 69 nt
Organism: Podarcis lilfordi (Lilford's wall lizard)
Lineage: Eukaryota; Metazoa; Chordata; Lepidosauria; Squamata; Lacertidae
Source: the annotation of a GenBank genome assembly